AGUAACACGUGGGUAACCUGCCCAUCAGAAGGGGAUAACACUUGGAAACAGGUGCUAAUACCGUAUAACAAUAGAAACCGCAUGGUUUCUAUUUGAAAGGCGCUUUUGCGUCACUGAUGGAUGGACCCGCGGUGCAUUAGCUAGUUGGUGAGGUAACGGCUCACCAAGGCAACGAUGCAUAGCCGACCUGAGAGGGUGAUCGGCCACAUUGGGACUGAGACACGGCCCAAACUCCUACGGGAGGCAGCAGUAGGGAAUCUUCGGCAAUGGACGAAAGUCUGACCGAGCAACGCCGCGUGAGUGAAGAAGGUUUUCGGAUCGUAAAACUCUGUUGUUAGAGAAGAACAAGGAUGAGAGUAAAAUGUUCAUCCCUUGACGGUAUCUAACCAGAAAGCCACGGCUAACUACGUGCCAGCAGCCGCGGUAAUACGUAGGUGGCAAGCGUUGUCCG
RNAcentral lists this ribosomal RNA (451 nucleotides) under Enterococcus gilvus. Its description in RNAcentral is "bacterial SSU rRNA". It matches the Rfam family "Bacterial small subunit ribosomal RNA", at positions 109 to 547 of the family's 1533-position model. The record is from RNAcentral. Lineage: Bacteria; Bacillati; Bacillota; Bacilli; Lactobacillales; Enterococcaceae.